Molecule: ribosomal RNA, 484 nt
Filed under: uncultured bacterium
Lineage: Bacteria
Description: partial 16S ribosomal RNA
Rfam family: Bacterial small subunit ribosomal RNA
Source: RNAcentral
GACGAACGCUGGCGGCGUGCUUAACACAUGCAAGUCGAACGAUGAAGCUGGAGCUUGCUCUGGCGGAUUAGUGGCGAACGGGUGAGUAACACGUGAGAAAUCUGCCCUUGACUCUGGGAUAACUGCGGGAAACUGUAGCUAAUACCGGAUACUUUCCCUGGUGGGCAUCCACUGGGGAAGAAAGAAUUUCGGUCAAGGAUGAUCUCGCGGCCUAUCAGCUUGUUGGUGAGGUAAUGGCUCACCAAGGCGACGACGGGUAGCCGGCCUGAGAGGGUGACCGGCCACACUGGGACUGGGACACGGCCCAGACUCCUACGGGAGGCAGCAGUGGGGAAUAUUGCACAAUGGGCGCAAGCCUGAUGCAGCAACGCCGCGUGAGGGAUGAGGGCCUUCGGGUUGUAAACCUCUUUUAGCAGGGAAGAAGCGAAAGUGACGGUACCUGCAGAAAAAGCACCGGCUAACUACGUGCCAGCCGCCGCAGUAA